CCUACGGGAGGCAGCAGUGGGGAAUAUUGCACAAUGGGGGAAACCCUGAUGCAGCAACGCCGCGUGAGCGAUGAAGGCCUUCGGGUCGUAAAGCUCUGUCCUAAGGGAAGAAUACUGACGGUACCUUAGGAGGAAGCCCCGGCUAACUACGUGCCAGCAGCCGCGGUAAUACGUAGGGGGCUAGCGUUAUCCGGAAUUACUGGGCGUAAAGGGUGCGUAGGCGGCCCUUCAAGUCAGAGGUGAAAGGAUACGGCUCAACCGUAGUAAGCCUUUGAAACUGUAGGGCUUGAGUGCAGGAGAGGAGAGUGGAAUUCCCAGUGUAACGGUGAGAUGCGUAGAUAUUGGGAGGAACACCAGUUGCGAAGGGGGCUCUCUGGACUGUAAAUGAAGCUGGGGCAAGAAGGCGUGGGAAGCGAGCAGGAUUAGGUGCCCGAGUAGGC
RNAcentral lists this ribosomal RNA (440 nucleotides) under uncultured bacterium. RNAcentral describes it as "bacterial SSU rRNA". It matches the Rfam family "Bacterial small subunit ribosomal RNA", at positions 338 to 795 of the family's 1533-position model. The record is from RNAcentral.